RNAcentral lists this ribosomal RNA (668 nucleotides) under Chaetothyriales sp. RNAcentral describes it as "SSU rRNA". It matches the Rfam family "Eukaryotic small subunit ribosomal RNA", at positions 48 to 722 of the family's 1831-position model. The record is from RNAcentral. Lineage: Eukaryota; Fungi; Ascomycota; Eurotiomycetes; Chaetothyriales.
GCCAUGCAUGUCUAAGUAUAAGCAACUAUACUGUGAAACUGCGAAUGGCUCAUUAAAUCAGUUAUCGUUUAUUUGAUAGUACCUUUACCUGGAUAACCGUGGUAAUUCUAGAGCUAAUACAUGCUAAAAACCUCGACUUCGGAAGGGGUGUAUUUAUUAGAUAAAAAACCAAUGCCCUUCGGGGCUCCUUGGUGAAUCAUAAUAACUUAACGAAUCGCAUGGCCUUGCGCCGGCGAUGGUUCAUUCAAACUUCUGCCCUAUCAACUUUCGAUGGUAAGAUAGAGGCUUACCAUGGUCUUAACGGGUAACGGGGAAUUAGGGUUCUAUUCCGGAGAGGGAGCCUGAGAAACGGCUACCACAUCCAAGGAAGGCAGCAGGCGCGCAAAUUACCCAAUCCCGACACGGGGAGGUAGUGACAAUAAAUACUGAUACGGGGCUCUUUUGGGUCUCGUAAUUGGAAUGAGUACAAUCUAAAUCCCUUAACGAGGAACAAUUGGAGGGCAAGUCUGGUGCCAGCAGCCGCGGUAAUUCCAGCUCCAAUAGCGUAUAUUAAAGUUGUUGCCGUUAAAAAGCUCGUAGUUGAACCUUGGGCCUGGCUGACCUGUCCUCCUAAUCGAGCGCACGGGUUCGGUCGGGCCUUUCCUUCUAGGGAACCCCAUGCCCUUCAC